RNAcentral lists this ribosomal RNA (445 nucleotides) under uncultured bacterium. RNAcentral's name for it is "bacterial SSU rRNA". It matches the Rfam family "Bacterial small subunit ribosomal RNA", at positions 354 to 796 of the family's 1533-position model. The record is from RNAcentral.
GUAAGGAAUAUUGGUCAAUGGGCGCAAGCCUGAACCAGCCAUGCCGCGUGCAGGAAGACGGCCCUACGGGUUGUAAACUGCUUUUAUACGGGAAUAAACCUACUUACGUGUAAGUAGCUGAAUGUACUGUAAGAAUAAGGAUCGGCUAACUCCGUGCCAGCAGCCGCGGUAAUACGGAGGAUCCAAGCGUUAUCCGGAUUUAUUGGGUUUAAAGGGUGCGUAGGCGGCCAAUUAAGUCAGGGGUGAAAGACGGUAGCUUAACUAUCGCAGUGCCUUUGAUACUGAUUGGCUUGAAUGUACUUGAGGUAGGCGGAAUGUGACAAGUAGCGGUGAAAUGCAUAGAUAUGUCACAGAACACCAAUUGCGAAGGCAGCUUACUAAAGUAUGAUUGACGCUGAGGCACGAAAGCGUGGGGAUCAAACAGGAUUAGAUACCCUUGUAGUCC